GAUCAUGGCUCAGAUUGACGCUGGCGGCAUGCCUUACACAUGCAAGUCGAACGGCAGCACGGGAGCAAUCCGUGUGGCGAGUGGCGAACGGGUGAGUAAUAUAUCGGAACGUGCCCAGUCGUGGGGAUAACGUAGCGAAAGCUACGCUAAUACCGCAUACGAUCUAUGGAUGAAAGCGGGGGAUCGCAAGACCUCGCGCGAUUGGAGCGGCCGAUAUCAGAUUAGGUAGUUGGUGAGGUAAAGGCUCACCAAGCCGACGAUCUGUAGCUGGGUCUGAGAGGAUGAUCAGCCACACUGGGACUGAGACACGGCCCAGACUCCUACGGGAGGCAGCAGUGGGGGAAUAUUGGACAAUGGGCGAAAGCCUGAUCCAGCAAUGCCGCGUGAGUGAUGAAGGCCUUCGGGUUGUAAAGCUCUUUUACUCGGGACGAUAAUGACGGUUCCGAGAGAAUAAGCCCCGGCUAACUACGUG
This 472-nucleotide ribosomal RNA is filed under the name uncultured bacterium. Its description in RNAcentral is "bacterial SSU rRNA". It matches the Rfam family "Bacterial small subunit ribosomal RNA", at positions 15 to 507 of the family's 1533-position model. The record is from RNAcentral.